AUGGCGGCGGCGAUGGCGAGCGCGGCGGAGCGGGCGGUGCUGGAAGAAGAAUUUAAAUGGCUUUUACAAGAAGAGGUCCAUGCUGUUUUGAAACAGCUGCAGGAUAUUUUGAAGGAGGCCUCUCAGCGGUUCGCCCUACCCACCAGUGGCUCGGGAGGAGCCGUCAAGCAGGAGAACUUUGUGCUGAGCACAGCGGGCACAGACCAGGUGAAAGGUGUGUUGACACUGCAGGGAGAUGCCUUGUGUCAAGCUGACAUUAACCUGAAAAUGCCCAGAAAUAAUCAGCUCCUGCACUUUGCCUUUCGGGAAGACAAGCAGUGGAAAUUACAGCAGAUCCAGGAUGCUAGAAACCAUGUUAACCAAGCCAUUUACCUGCUUAUGAACAGAGAUGUAAGCUACAAGUUCAAAACAGGCUCGGAGGUUCUCAAGCUUAUGGAUGCUGUGAUGUUACAGCUCUCAAGAGCCCGAAAUAGGCUUACCACUCCAGCCACUCUGACUCUACCGGAGAUUGCCUCCAGUGGUCUCACAAAAAUGUUCACACCUGCUCUGCCUCCAGACAUCCUUGUGAAUUUCUAUAUUAACCUGAAUAAGCUGUGCCUGACUGUCUACCAACUCCAUGUGCUGCAGCCCAGCACAACCAAGAACUUCAAGCCUGCUGGAGGGUCCAUUUUACACAACCCUGGAGCCAUGUUCGAGUUUGGCAACCAGCGAUAUGAAGUCAGCCAUGUCCAUAAAGUGGAAUGUGUUGUACCAUGGUUGAACGAUGCCCUUGUCUUCUUCACAGUUUCACUGCAGCUUUGCCAGCAAUUGAAGGACAAGAUCUCUGUUUUCUCCAGUUACUGGAACUACAGGCCAUAUUAAUUAUCUGUGGAGUGUCCGAGCCCUUACAGUACUUCCAGUGUCUCCCUGUUUGUUUUCGACAUGCCAGCUGAGUCCAGGUUUAGUAUCUUGUUUUCACUGCCAGCCUUUGGAGCUGCCUCGGUACCUUGAGCACAGCUGUGCAGUCUCACAUCCUGUCAUUAAAUCCAAAGUGAGUACCUCGUUGUUACUACAAUUUGCUGCCUACCUAUGGAUGCUACAGUAUGUAACUCAUUCCUCUAGCAUUGAUAACUGUGAAAUAAAGAUCCUCAGACCUGCCAUGCUCCUGUGGGCUGUCAGU
RNA transcript from Gavia stellata (red-throated loon), 1159 nucleotides. It is a transcript of the gene named rogdi atypical leucine zipper, with no coding region annotated. The transcript has 12 exons. NCBI's taxonomy places the organism in Eukaryota, Metazoa, Chordata, Aves, Gaviiformes, Gaviidae. The record is from RefSeq and is a predicted model, not a curated record.